GCGUCCGUAGCUCAGUUGGUUAGAGUACCACCUUGACAUGGUGGGGGUCGGUGGUUCGAGUCCACUCGGACGCACCA
This 77-nucleotide transfer RNA is filed under the name Escherichia coli. RNAcentral describes it as "tRNA-Val". It matches the Rfam family "tRNA". From Rfam's summary of the family: Transfer RNA (tRNA) molecules are approximately 80 nucleotides in length. Their secondary structure includes four short double-helical elements and three loops (D, anti-codon, and T loops). Lineage: Bacteria; Pseudomonadati; Pseudomonadota; Gammaproteobacteria; Enterobacterales; Enterobacteriaceae. The record is from RNAcentral. RNAcentral also lists the same sequence under 4 other names.